GACGAACGCUGGCGGCGCGCCUAACACAUGCAAGUCGAACGAGCGAGAGAGAGCUUGCUUUCUCGAGCGAGUGGCGAACGGGUGAGUAACGCGUGAGGAACCUGCCUCAAAGAGGGGGACAACAGUUGGAAACGACUGCUAAUGCCGCAUAAGCCCACAGCUCGGCAUCGAGCAGAGGGAAAAGGAGCAAUCCGCUUUGAGAUGGCCUCGCGUCCGAUUAGCUAGUUGGUGAGGUAACGGCCCACCAAGGCGACGAUCGGUAGCCGGACUGAGAGGUUGAACGGCCACAUUGGGACUGAGACACGGCCCAGACUCCUACGGGAGGCAGCAGUGGGGAAUAUUGCACAAUGGGGGAAACCCUGAUGCAGCGACGCCGCGUGGAGGAAGAAGGUCUUCGGAUUGUAAACUCCUGUUGUUGAGGAAGAUAAUGACGGUACUCAACAAGGAAGUGACGGCUAACUACGUGCCAGCAGCCGCGGUAAAACGUAGGUCACAAGCGUUGUCCGGAAUUACUGGGUGUAAAGGGAGCGCAGGCGGGAAGACAAGUUGGAAGUGAAAUCCAUGGGCUCAACCCAUGAACUGCUUUCAAAACUGUUUUUCUUGAGUAGUGCAGAGGUAGGCGGAAUUCCCGGUGUAGCGGUGGAAUGCGUAGAUAUCGGGAGGAACACCAGUGGCGAAGGCGGCCUACUGGGCACCAACUGACGCUGAGGCUCGAAAGUGUGGGUAGCAAACAGGAUUAGAUACCCUGGUAGUCCACACUGUAAACGAUGAUUACUAGGUGUUGGAGGAUUGACCCCUUCAGUGCCGCAGUUAACACAAUAAGUAAUCCACCUGGGGAGUACGACCGCAAGGUUGAAACUCAAAGGAAUUGACGGGGGCCCGCACAAGCAGUGGAGUAUGUGGUUUAAUUCGACGCAACGCGAAGAACCUUACCAAGUCUUGACAUCCCUUGACGAUGCUGGAAACAGUAUUUCUCUUCGGAGCAAGGAGACAGGUGGUGCAUGGUUGUCGUCAGCUCGUGUCGUGAGAUGUUGGGUUAAGUCCCGCAACGAGCGCAACCCUUAUGGUCAGUUACUACGCAAGAGGACUCUGGCCAGACUGCCGUUGACAAAACGGAGGAAGGUGGGGAUGACGUCAAAUCAUCAUGCCCUUUAUGACUUGGGCUACACACGUACUACAAUGGCGUUAAACAAAGAGAAGCAAGACCGCGAGGUGGAGCAAAACUCAGAAACAACGUCCCAGUUCGGACUGCAGGCUGCAACUCGCCUGCACGAAGUCGGAAUUGCUAGUAAUCGCAGAUCAGCAUGCUGCGGUGAAUACGUUCCCGGGCCUU
RNAcentral lists this ribosomal RNA (1333 nucleotides) under uncultured bacterium. RNAcentral's name for it is "bacterial SSU rRNA". It matches the Rfam family "Bacterial small subunit ribosomal RNA", at positions 28 to 1382 of the family's 1533-position model. The record is from RNAcentral.